This 253-nucleotide ribosomal RNA is filed under the name uncultured bacterium. RNAcentral describes it as "partial 16S ribosomal RNA". It matches the Rfam family "Bacterial small subunit ribosomal RNA", at positions 524 to 776 of the family's 1533-position model. The record is from RNAcentral.
UACGUAGGGGGCAAGCGUUGUCCGGAUUUAUUGGGCGUAAAGCGCGUGUAGGCGGCCUUACAGGUCAGCUGUGAAAACUCGAGGCUCAACCUCGAGACGUCGGUUGAAACCGUAUGGCUAGAGUCCGGAAGAGGAGAGUGGAAUUCCCGGUGUAGCGGUGAAAUGCGCAGAUAUCGGGAAGAACACCUAUGGCGAAGGCAGCUCUCUGGGACGGUACUGACGCUGAGACGCGAAAGCGUGGGGAGCAAACAGG